RNAcentral lists this ribosomal RNA (254 nucleotides) under uncultured bacterium. RNAcentral describes it as "partial 16S ribosomal RNA". It matches the Rfam family "Bacterial small subunit ribosomal RNA", at positions 524 to 776 of the family's 1533-position model. The record is from RNAcentral.
UACGGGGGGGGCAAGCGUUGUUCGGAAUUACUGGGCGUAAAGGGCGCGUAGGCGGCCUGCUAAGUCGGACGUGAAAUCCCUCGGCUCAACCGGGGAACUGCGUCCGAUACUGGUGGGCUCGAAUCCGGGAGAGGGAUGUGGAAUUCCAGGUGUAGCGGUGAAAUGCGUAGAUAUCCGGAGGAACACCGGUGGCGAAGGCGGCUUCCUGGACCGAUUACUGACGCUGAGGCGCGAAAGCUAGGGGAGCAAACGGG